This 453-nucleotide ribosomal RNA is filed under the name uncultured organism. Its description in RNAcentral is "partial 16S ribosomal RNA". It matches the Rfam family "Bacterial small subunit ribosomal RNA", at positions 332 to 801 of the family's 1533-position model. The record is from RNAcentral.
UACACUCCUGCGGGAGGCAGCAGUGGGGAAUAUUGGACAAUGGGCGCAAGCCUGAUCCAGCCAUGCCGCGUGAGUGAUGAAGGCCCUAGGGUUGUAAAGCUCUUUCACCGGUGAAGAUAAUGACGGUAACCGGAGAAGAAGCCCCGGCUAACUUCGUGCCAGCAGCCGCGGUAAUACGAAGGGGGCUAGCGUUGUUCGGAUUUACCGGGCGUAAAGCGCACGUAGGCGGACUAUUAAGUCAGGGGUGAAAUCCCGGGGCUCAACCCCGGAACUGCCUUUGAUACUGGUAGUCUUGAGUUCGAGAGAGGUGAGUGGAAUUCCGAGUGUAGAGGGGAAAUUCGUAGAUAUUCGGAGGAACACCAGUGGCGAAGGCGGCUCACUGGCUCGAUACUGACGCUGAGGUGCGAAAGCGUGGGGAGCAAACAGGAUUAGAUACCCGGGUAGUCCCAUGAU